This 612-nucleotide ribosomal RNA is filed under the name uncultured bacterium. RNAcentral's name for it is "bacterial SSU rRNA". The stretch from base 1 to 521 matches the Rfam family "Bacterial small subunit ribosomal RNA", at positions 338 to 873 of the family's 1533-position model. The record is from RNAcentral.
CCUACGGGAGGCAGCAGUGGGGAAUCUUGCGCAAUGGGCGAAAGCCUGACGCAGCCAUGCCGCGUGAAUGAUGAAGGUCUUAGGAUUGUAAAAAUUCUUUCACCGGGGACGAUAAUGACGGUACCCGGAGAAGAAGCCCCGGCUAACUUCGUGCCAGCAGCCGCGGUAAUACGAAGGGGGCUAGCGUUGCUCGGAAUUACUGGGCGUAAAGGGAGCGUAGGCGGAUAGUUUAGUCAGAGGUGAAAGCCCAGGGCUCAACCUUGGAAUUGCCUUUGAUACUGGCUAUCUUGAGUAUGGGAGAGGUUAGCGGAACUCCGAGUGUAGAGGUGAAAUUCGUAGAUAUUCGGAAGAACACCAGUGGCGAAGGCGGCUAACUGGCCCAUUACUGACGCUGAGGCUCGAAAGCGUGGGGAGCAAACAGGAUUAGAUACCCUGGUAGUCCACGCCGUAAACGAUGAGUGCUAGUUGUCGGCAUGCAUGCAUGUCGGUGACGCGAGCUACGACGUAUUAAGUACACCUCCGCCGUCGGGAGGUACGGUCGACGAAGAAUUAAACUAACGAAAGAAGUAGACGGCGUGAGACGCGACCGACGACGACGACGGAGGGAGGAGG